Molecule: ribosomal RNA, 80 nt
Filed under: Anoxybacillus flavithermus
Lineage: Bacteria; Bacillati; Bacillota; Bacilli; Caryophanales; Anoxybacillaceae
Also listed under: 1 other name
Source: RNAcentral
CUCGGUGACGAUGGCGGAGAGGUCACACCCGUUCCCAUCCCGAACACGGAAGUUAAGCUCUCCAGCGCCGAUGGUAGUUG